AAGAUUUAGUGGCGAACGGGUGAGGAUCACGUGAGAAACCUGCCCCAGACUUUGGGAUAACACCGGGAAACCGGUGCUAAUACCGGAUACUCCAUCUUGGCGGCAUCGCCGAGCUGGGAAAAAAUUUUGAUGAAAGAUGGUCUCGCGGCCUAUCAGCUAGUUGGUGAGGUAAAGGCUCACCAAGGCGACGACGGGUAGCCGGCCUGAGAGGGCGACCGGCCACACUGGGACUGAGACACGGCCCAGACUCC
Molecule: ribosomal RNA, 251 nt
Filed under: uncultured bacterium
Lineage: Bacteria
Description: partial 16S ribosomal RNA
Rfam family: Bacterial small subunit ribosomal RNA
Source: RNAcentral